UUAGAAAACUGUUGAAUUGUCAAUGCGCCCAGUAUCGUUUGAAGUCGAUGACAAUCAACAACAAUAUUAGUUGUCAACUCAUUUUUAUUUUUUUUUCUUAUUCACGCACGAGUUUGAAGAAAAUUUGAUUUAUCUGCGAGGUGCUUGCAGUAAGAAUCCUGACUGCAAGAUAUUCGGCUCCUGAAUCCCGUUGGCUGUUGAUACAAAAUUCUGUGCGACGUUGCGAUAAGGAAAAGCAACGCCCACUCUACGGCCAUGGCGGAAACAACCAAAAAAACACCAAGGAGAGAUCAGGAAAAAGAUAAUCCAAAUAAGCCGAACUCGAUUUACGCUAUUGACACGGAUUUGAUCGCUAUGUAAACCCAACAAAC
Long non-coding RNA from Armigeres subalbatus, 371 nucleotides. RefSeq lists it as uncharacterized. The record is from RefSeq and is a predicted model, not a curated record. The transcript is spliced from 3 exons. Lineage: Eukaryota; Metazoa; Arthropoda; Insecta; Diptera; Culicidae.